UUUGAUCCUGGCUCAGGACGAACGCUGGCGGCACGCUUAACACAUGCAAGUCGAACGCUCUCGACCUUCGGGUCAUAUGGGAGAGUGGCGAACGGGUGAGUAACACGUGAGAAACCUGCCCUAAAGAUUGGGACAACCACUGGAAACGGUGGCUAAUACCGAAUAUCUUCCUACCGUCGCAUGGCGGUUUGAAGAAAUGCUCCGGCGCUUUAGGAGGGUCUCGCGGCCUAUCAGCUAGUUGGUGAGGUAACGGCUCACCAAGGCAUCGACGGGUAGCUGGUCUGAGAGGACGAUCAGCCACACUGGGACUGAGACACGGCCCAGACUCCUACGGGAGGCAGCAGUGGGGAAUCUUGCGCAAUGGGCGAAAGCCUGACGCAGCGAUGCCGCGUGGGGGAUGAAGGCUCUCGGGUCGUAAACCCCUUUCAGCAGGGACGAAAAUGACGGUACCUGCAGAAGAAGCCCCGGCCAACUACGUGCCAGCAGCCGCGGUAAUAAGGG
Molecule: ribosomal RNA, 501 nt
Filed under: uncultured bacterium
Lineage: Bacteria
Description: bacterial SSU rRNA
Rfam family: Bacterial small subunit ribosomal RNA
Source: RNAcentral